CAGUAGCCGCGGUAAUACGUAGGUGGCAAGCGUUGUCCGGAAUUAUUGGGCGUAAAGGGCUCGCAGGCGGUUUCUUAAGUCUGAUGUGAAAGCCCCCGGCUCAACCGGGGAGGGUCAUUGGAAAUUGGGAAACUUGAGUGCAGAAGAGGAGAGUGGAAUUCCACGUGUAGCGGUGAAAUGCGUAGAGAUGUGGAGGAACACCAGUGGCGAAGGCGACUCUCUGGUCUGUAACUGACGCUGAGGAGCGAAAGCGUGGGGAGCGAACAGGAUUAGAUACCCCCGUAGUCCCUGUCUCUUAUAC
RNAcentral lists this ribosomal RNA (301 nucleotides) under uncultured bacterium. RNAcentral's name for it is "partial 16S ribosomal RNA". It matches the Rfam family "Bacterial small subunit ribosomal RNA", at positions 509 to 807 of the family's 1533-position model. The record is from RNAcentral.